RNAcentral lists this ribosomal RNA (560 nucleotides) under uncultured bacterium. RNAcentral's name for it is "bacterial SSU rRNA". It matches the Rfam family "Bacterial small subunit ribosomal RNA", at positions 338 to 916 of the family's 1533-position model. The record is from RNAcentral.
CCUACGGGAGGCAGCAGUGGGGAAUAUUGCGCAAUGGGGGAAACCCUGACGCAGCCAUGCCGCGUGAGUGAAGAAGGUCUUCGGAUUGUAAAGCUCUUUCAACGGGGAAGAUGAUGACGGUACCCGUAGAAGAAGCCCCGGCUAACUUCGUGCCAGCAGCCGCGGUAAUACGAAGGGGGCUAGCGUUGUUCGGAAUUACUGGGCGUAAAGGGCGUGUAGGCGGUGCGAUCAGUCAGAGGUGAAAGCCCCGGGCUCAACCUGGGAAUUGCCUUUGAUACUGUCACACUAGAGUUCGGGAGAGGGUAGUGGAAUUCCCAGUGUAGAGGUGAAAUUCGUAGAUAUUGGGAAGAACACCGGUGGCGAAGGCGGCUACCUGGACCGAUACUGACGCUGAGGCGCGAAAGCGUGGGGAGCAAACAGGAUUAGAUACCCUGGUAGUCCACGCCGUAAACGAUGUCUGCUAGUCGUUGGGGGGCGCAGCCCUUCAGUGACGCCGCUAACGCAUUAAGCAGACCGCCUGGGGAGUACGGCCGCAAGGUUAAACUCAAAGGAAUUGACGG